Molecule: non-coding RNA, 24 nt
Filed under: Cricetulus griseus (Chinese hamster)
Lineage: Eukaryota; Metazoa; Chordata; Mammalia; Rodentia; Cricetidae
Source: RNAcentral
AAUGGCUGAACGUUACAAGUGUGC